RNAcentral lists this ribosomal RNA (1522 nucleotides) under metagenome. RNAcentral describes it as "bacterial SSU rRNA". It matches the Rfam family "Bacterial small subunit ribosomal RNA". The record is from RNAcentral.
AGAGUUUGAUCAUGGCUCAGAUUGAACGCUGGCGGCAGGCCUAACACAUGCAAGUCGAACGGUAACAGGAAACAGCUUGCUGUUUCGCUGACGAGUGGCGGACGGGUGAGUAAUGUCUGGGAAACUGCCUGAUGGAGGGGGAUAACUACUGGAAACGGUAGCUAAUACCGCAUAACGUCGCAAGACCAAAGAGGGGGACCUUCGGGCCUCUUGCCAUCAGAUGUGCCCAGAUGGGAUUAGCUAGUAGGUGGGGUAACGGCUCACCUAGGCGACGAUCCCUAGCUGGUCUGAGAGGAUGACCAGCCACACUGGAACUGAGACACGGUCCAGACUCCUACGGGAGGCAGCAGUGGGGAAUAUUGCACAAUGGGCGCAAGCCUGAUGCAGCCAUGCCGCGUGUAUGAAGAAGGCCUUCGGGUUGUAAAGUACUUUCAGCGGGGAGGAAGGGAGUAAAGUUAAUACCUUUGCUCAUUGACGUUACCCGCAGAAGAAGCACCGGCUAACUCCGUGCCAGCAGCCGCGGUAAUACGGAGGGUGCAAGCGUUAAUCGGAAUUACUGGGCGUAAAGCGCACGCAGGCGGUUUGUUAAGUCAGAUGUGAAAUCCCCGGGCUCAACCUGGGAACUGCAUCUGAUACUGGCAAGCUUGAGUCUCGUAGAGGGGGGUAGAAUUCCAGGUGUAGCGGUGAAAUGCGUAGAGAUCUGGAGGAAUACCGGUGGCGAAGGCGGCCCCCUGGACGAAGACUGACGCUCAGGUGCGAAAGCGUGGGGAGCAAACAGGAUUAGAUACCCUGGUAGUCCACGCCGUAAACGAUGUCGACUUGGAGGUUGUGCCCUUGAGGCGUGGCUUCCGGAGCUAACGCGUUAAGUCGACCGCCUGGGGAGUACGGCCGCAAGGUUAAAACUCAAAUGAAUUGACGGGGGCCCGCACAAGCGGUGGAGCAUGUGGUUUAAUUCGAUGCAACGCGAAGAACCUUACCUGGUCUUGACAUCCACGGAAGUUUUCAGAGAUGAGAAUGUGCCUUCGGGAACCGUGAGACAGGUGCUGCAUGGCUGUCGUCAGCUCGUGUUGUGAAAUGUUGGGUUAAGUCCCGCAACGAGCGCAACCCUUAUCCUUUGUUGCCAGCGGUCCGGCCGGGAACUCAAAGGAGACUGCCAGUGAUAAACUGGAGGAAGGUGGGGAUGACGUCAAGUCAUCAUGGCCCUUACGACCAGGGCUAUACACGUGCUACAAUGGCGCAUACAAAGAGAAGCGACCUCGCGAGAGCAAGCGGACCUCAUAAAGUGCGUCGUAGUCCGGAUUGGAGUCUGCAACUCGACUCCAUGAAGUCGGAAUCGCUAGUAAUCGUGGAUCAGAAUGCCACGGUGAAUACGUUCCCGGGCCUUGUACACACCGCCCGUCACACCAUGGGAGUGGGUUGCAAAAGAAGUAGGUAGCUUAACCUUCGGGAGGGCGCUUACCACUUUGUGAUUCAUGACUGGGGUGAAGUCGUAACAAGGUAACCGUAGGGGAACCUGCGGUUG